RNAcentral lists this unclassified non-coding RNA (296 nucleotides) under Hevea brasiliensis (rubber tree). The record is from RNAcentral. Lineage: Eukaryota; Viridiplantae; Streptophyta; Magnoliopsida; Malpighiales; Euphorbiaceae.
GGGGAGAGGGGGGGGUGUGGGGGGGGAAGGAGGGAGAGGAAGAGGGGAGUGGAACACAAAGAUGGCUGAGUCCUAAUGACAUUACGAAAAAGUUAUGAAAUUGUUAAAGUCGGUGCCAAUGCAUGCAUUUCAAUGAGUUGUGUAAACUCAAGAACUAGAAAAGAUGUAUCUCAAUCACAAGGUAAACAAACCAACUAGCACAAAAAUAACAAUAAAACAAGAAAAAACAAAAGCAAGAUAGCAAUCUUGGCUUCCAGAGAAUAAUCUAACAUACUUGUGUUGCAACUCAUUUUUAG